This 244-nucleotide long non-coding RNA is filed under the name Homo sapiens (human). Its description in RNAcentral is "non-protein coding LINC00630:44". The record is from RNAcentral. Lineage: Eukaryota; Metazoa; Chordata; Mammalia; Primates; Hominidae.
ACACCCAGAAAGUACAGGAAAGGCAGACGACAACUGUGCUCCGCAGAGCGGGAGGUGGGGGGAACGGCGGAAUAUUAAGGUGGGAGCUCAAGAAGCAGAGACUCUACCUGCCCUAGGCGUUCGUGAAGAGAAGCAGCUGUUGCUAUUGGAGGAGGUGGGUGCAAGGACGGCAGAUGCCAUCCCUGAGAGGCGGUGACUGAGACUAGAUGCGGGUACAGGUAGUGCCUCGGAUCCCCGGGCUGCC